Molecule: unclassified non-coding RNA, 230 nt
Filed under: uncultured fungus
Lineage: Eukaryota; Fungi
Description: sequence contains ITS1
Source: RNAcentral
GUAUUGAUUGCGUGUGACCGCAAACUAAAAAGAAAACAUUCUAUACUGUAUCGAGUUUUAUGUGAAAACGCGAGCCCUCCGUAAGGAGGACCCACGCGGUGAUGCACAAAAGGGGUGAGAUGGAUUAUGUGCGAGAGCACCGAGGUGUGCACGACCCUUUCAAAAGUCAGCGACAACCCCAGCACCUCGAUUGUACGAUAAUGAUCCUUCCGCAGGUUCACCUACGGAAA